Molecule: ribosomal RNA, 233 nt
Filed under: uncultured bacterium
Lineage: Bacteria
Description: partial 16S ribosomal RNA
Rfam family: Bacterial small subunit ribosomal RNA
Source: RNAcentral
UACGGAGGGUGCGAGCGUUGUCCGGAAUCACUGGGCGUAAAGGCGCGUAGGUGGCCUGUGGAAGUCUGCGGUGAAAGCCCGGCGCUCAACCGCCGGGUCUGCCGUGGAUACUCUCGGGCUCGAGCUUACUAGAGGCAGAUGGAAUUCCGGGUGUAGCGGUGGAAUGCGUAGAGAUCCGGAAGAACACCGGUGGCGGAAGGCGGUCUGCUGGGCGAGUUGCUGACACCUGAGGC